This 465-nucleotide ribosomal RNA is filed under the name uncultured bacterium. Its description in RNAcentral is "partial 16S ribosomal RNA". It matches the Rfam family "Bacterial small subunit ribosomal RNA", at positions 28 to 507 of the family's 1533-position model. The record is from RNAcentral.
GACGAACGCUGGCGGCGUGCUUAACACAUGCAAGUCGUACGGUAAGGCCCUUUCGGGGGUACACGAGUGGCGAACGGGUGAGUAACACGUGAGUAACCUGCCCACAACUUUGGGAUAACGCUAGGAAACUGGUGCUAAUACUGGAUAUGUGCCCCUGCUGCAUGGUGGGGGUUGGAAAGCUCCGGCGGUUGUGGAUGGACUCGCGGCCUAUCAGCUUGUUGGUGGGGUAGUGGCCUACCAAGGCGGCGACGGGUAGCCGGCCUGAGAGGGUGACCGGCCACAUUGGGACUGAGAUACGGCCCAGACUCCUACGGGAGGCAGCAGUGGGGAAUAUUGCACAAUGGGCGCAAGCCUGAUGCAGCAACGCCGCGGGCGGGAUGACGGCCUUCGGGUUGGAAACCGCUUUCAGCAGGGACGAAGCUUUUUGUGACGGUACCUGCAGAAGAAGCACCGGCUAACUACGUG